This 495-nucleotide ribosomal RNA is filed under the name uncultured bacterium. Its description in RNAcentral is "partial 16S ribosomal RNA". It matches the Rfam family "Bacterial small subunit ribosomal RNA", at positions 30 to 523 of the family's 1533-position model. The record is from RNAcentral.
AUUGAACGCUGGCGGAAUGCUUUACACAUGCAAGUCGAACGGUAGAGGGGGCAACCCCUCGAGAGUGGCGAACGGGUGAGUAAUAUAUCGGAACGUGCCCAGUCGUGGGGGAUAACGUAGCGAAAGUUACGCUAAUACCGUAUACGAUCUACGGAUGAAAGCGGGGGAUCGCAAGACCUCGCGCGAUUGGAGCGGCCGAUAUCAGAUUAGGUUGUUAGUGCGGUAAAAGCUCACCAAGCCUUCGAUCUGUAGCUGGUCUGAGAGGACGACCAGCCACACUGGAACUGAGACACGGUCCAGACUCCUACGGGAGGCAGCAGUGGGGAAUUUUGGACAAUGGACGCAAGUCUGAUCCAGCAAUGCCGCGUGCAGGACGAAGGCCUUCGGGUUGUAAACUGCUUUUGUACGGAACGAAACGGUGAGCUCUAAUACAGUUUGCUAAUGACGGUACCGUAAGAAUAGCACCGGCUAACUACGUGCCAGCAGCCGCCGUAA